UACGUAGGGGGCAAGCGUUGUCCGGAAUCAUUGGGCGUAAAGAGCGUGUAGGCGGCCAGAUAAGUCCGCUGUGAAAUCUCGAGGCUCAACUUCGAGCUGUCGGUGGAAACUGUCUGGCUAGAGUCCGGAAGAGGAGAGUGGAAUUCCCGGUGUAGCGGUGAAAUGCGCAGAUAUCGGGAAGAACACCUAUGGCGAAGGCAGCUCUCUGGGACGGUACUGACGCUGAGACGCGAAAGCGUGGGGAGCAAACAGG
This 253-nucleotide ribosomal RNA is filed under the name uncultured bacterium. RNAcentral describes it as "partial 16S ribosomal RNA". It matches the Rfam family "Bacterial small subunit ribosomal RNA", at positions 524 to 776 of the family's 1533-position model. The record is from RNAcentral.